RNAcentral lists this ribosomal RNA (462 nucleotides) under uncultured bacterium. RNAcentral describes it as "partial 16S ribosomal RNA". It matches the Rfam family "Bacterial small subunit ribosomal RNA", at positions 28 to 507 of the family's 1533-position model. The record is from RNAcentral.
GAUAAACGCUGGCGGCGUGCUUAACACAUGCAAGUCGAACGAAGUUUUUCCUUCGGGCGACCCUUAGUGGCGGACGGGUGAGUAACGCGUGGGUAACCUGCCCUGUACAGGGGGACAACAGCUGGAAACGGCUGCUAAUACCGCAUAAGCACUUAGCACUGCAUGGUGCAUAGGGAAAAGGAGCAAUCCGGUACAGGAUGGACCCGCGUCUGAUUAGCCAGUUGGCAGGGUAACGGCCUACCAAAGCGACGAUCAGUAGCCGAUCUGAGAGGAUGUACGGCCACAUUGGGACUGAGACACGGCCCAGACUCCUACGGGAGGCAGCAGUGGGGAAUAUUGCACAAUGGAGGAAACUCUGAUGCAGCGACGCCGCGUGAGUGAAGAAGUAUUUCGGUAUGUAAAGCUCUAUCAGCAGGGAAGAAAAUGACGGUACCUGACGAAGAAGCACCGGCUAAAUACGUG